This 496-nucleotide ribosomal RNA is filed under the name uncultured bacterium. Its description in RNAcentral is "partial 16S ribosomal RNA". It matches the Rfam family "Bacterial small subunit ribosomal RNA", at positions 28 to 506 of the family's 1533-position model. The record is from RNAcentral.
GAUGAACGCUGGCGGCGUGCCUAAUACAUGCUAGUCGAGCGAACGGACGAGAAGCUUGCUUCUCUGAUGUUAGCGGCGGACGGGUGAGUAACACGUGGAUAACCUACCUAUAAGACUGGGAUAACUUCGGGAAACCGGAGCUAAUACCGGAUGAUAUUUUGAACCGCAUGGUUCAAAAGUGAAAGACGGUCUUGCUGUCACUUAUAGAUGGAUCCGCGCUGCAUUAGCUAGUUGGUAAGGUAACGGCUUACCAAGGCAACGAUGCAUAGCCGACCUGAGAGGGUGAUCGGCCACACUGGAACUGAGACACGGUCCAGACUCCUACGGGAGGCAGCAGUAGGGAAUCUUCCGCAAUGGGCGAAAGCCUGACGGAGCAACGCCGCGUGAGUGAUGAAGGUCUUCGGAUCGUAAAACUCUGUUAUUAGGGAAGAACAUAUGUGUAAGUAACUGUGCACAUCUUGACGGUACCUAAUCAGAAAGCCACGGCUAACUACGU